This 427-nucleotide ribosomal RNA is filed under the name uncultured bacterium. Its description in RNAcentral is "partial 16S ribosomal RNA". It matches the Rfam family "Bacterial small subunit ribosomal RNA", at positions 355 to 774 of the family's 1533-position model. The record is from RNAcentral.
UGGGGAAUAUUGCACAAUGGGCGCAAGCCUGAUGCAGCCAUGCCGCGUGUAUGAGGAAGGCCUUCGGGUUGUAAAGUACUUUCAGCGAGGAGGAAGGCGUUGUGGUUAAUAACCGCAGCGAUUGACGUUACUCGCAGAAGAAGCACCGGAUAACUCCGUGCCAGCAGCCGCGGUAAUACGGAGGGUGCAAGCGUUAAUCGGAAUUACUGGGCGUAAAGCGCACGCAGGCGGUCUGUCAAGUCGGAUGUGAAAUCCCCGGGCUCAACCUGGGAACUGCAUCCGAAACUGGCAGGCUAGAGUCUUGUAGAGGGGGGUAGAAUUCCAGGUGUAGCGGUGAAAUGCGUAGAGAUCUGGAGGAAUACCGGUGGCGAAGGCGGCCCCCUGGACAAAGACUGACGCUCAGGUGCGAAAGCGUGGGGAGCAAACA